This 540-nucleotide long non-coding RNA is filed under the name Lynx pardinus (Iberian lynx). The record is from RNAcentral. Lineage: Eukaryota; Metazoa; Chordata; Mammalia; Carnivora; Felidae.
CAGGCUGGGAGUGCCCGCCUCGAGGUCUCCUUACUUACCCACCACGGUACCCUGGCCAGGGCCGUCUGAGGUGGCUCCUGUUAUCGUGGCUGCUUUUGAGGAUCAUGGUUAAGACCACCGGACCGACGGUCAAGCCGGUUGUAAAUACCCUUCUUUCCAUGUUCUUCAGGGACACCAGCCCCAGCGACGACCUUGGACGAUUUCAACGCGCAGGCACCUCGAUCCCCCGAAUUCUUGGUGUGGCCGGUAUCACUGUUCCCCUGGUUUAACUAGCCUGUUUGGUAAGUAACUGAAUAUUUUUUACAGCGUGUUCAGAGCUUAUUUUCCAGUUUUUAUGAACAAACAUAUAAAUAUAUCUCUGCAUUCCUGACUCUCCCAUAAAAGCGGGCAUCUGUGGAAAGCAGGUUUAGUUAUCGGAGGGGAACCAUUAAACAGCAGUUUAAGAGGCAGAGCGGGAGGACGGCUCGUGGAUGUUUAGACUGCUGGCCUUAGUGAUCUUGAACGCAUUAUAACGGAAAAUGGAUCUCCAUUUGUAAGUCA